UAUAGGGGAAAUCAGUUAUAUAGAAAUAGCAUCAGAAAGAUACAGAGAUUAGUAUGGCCCUGAGCAAGGAUGACAUGCAAAUUUGUGAAGUGUUUCAUAUAUAC
Vombatus ursinus (common wombat) is the source of this 104-nucleotide small nuclear RNA. The record is from Ensembl. NCBI's taxonomy places the organism in Eukaryota, Metazoa, Chordata, Mammalia, Diprotodontia, Vombatidae.